RNAcentral lists this ribosomal RNA (498 nucleotides) under Clostridioides difficile. RNAcentral's name for it is "partial 23S ribosomal RNA". It matches the Rfam family "Bacterial large subunit ribosomal RNA", at positions 2425 to 2925 of the family's 2925-position model. Lineage: Bacteria; Bacillati; Bacillota; Clostridia; Peptostreptococcales; Peptostreptococcaceae. The record is from RNAcentral.
GGUUCUGCGUGGAAGGGCCAUCGCUCAACGGAUAAAAGCUACCCUGGGGAUAACAGGCUUAUCUCCCCCAAGAGUCCACAUCGACGGGGAGGUUUGGCACCUCGAUGUCGGCUCAUCACAUCCUGGGGCUGUAGUAGGUCCCAAGGGUUGGGCUGUUCGCCCAUUAAAGUGGUACGCGAGCUGGGUUCAGAACGUCGUGAGACAGUUCGGUCCCUAUCCGUCGCAGGCGUAGGAAAUUUGAGAAGACCUGUCCUUAGUACGAGAGGACCGGGAUGGACGUACCUCUGGUGUACCAGUUGUUCUGCCAAGGGCAUGGCUGGGUAGCUAUGUACGGAAUGGAUAAGCGCUGAAAGCAUCUAAGCGCGAAGCCAACUUCAAGAUAAGAUUUCCCACCGCAAGGGUAAGACCCCAGAAAGACUAUCUGGUUGAUAGGUCGAAGGUGUAAGUGCAGCAAUGUAUUUAGCUUAUCGAUACUAAUAGGUCGAGGACUUGACCAAU